This is a long non-coding RNA of Mercenaria mercenaria, 858 nucleotides long. RefSeq lists it as uncharacterized. NCBI's taxonomy places the organism in Eukaryota, Metazoa, Mollusca, Bivalvia, Venerida, Veneridae. The transcript has 3 exons. The record is from RefSeq and is a predicted model, not a curated record.
CAUACUUGAAUUAAAUAUAUUUAUUACAAUUUUAGGUACACAAAACACAGCAGACAUUCCAAAGGUAAGAACCUCUAGCUAUGGCAGCAGUACCUUGUUUCACAGCGACCAAUUUUUGUUGGAACUCCCUGCCACAACAUUUUAGGAAAGAAACCAAUUUCAGUUCAGAGUUUGAUCAAUACCUGGAGCAGAGAGGGCUGCACAUGCACUGCCUGUUCUAGCUACUGAUUUGCUGCUUUAUGCUAUUUUGCUUGUUUUCUGUGUGCUUGGUUGCUCUAUGCUCUAAUGCUUUCUUUUAUAUGUGCUUAUUUCAUAAUUAUGCUUAUUUCUUUUUUUCUUGUUUUAUAUGUGUGUGCAUAUAUAUGCAUUGCUUUCAUGUGUGCUUUUGUAUUGCCUGAAGGUUACAAGCUGCUUCCAGAAAUUAUCUUUUAUUUUAUGUCUUUUUGUGUUGCUUUAACAUGUUGUCAUAUUGCAAGUUAAUUUAUUCAUGUCUAAACCAGUGUUUUAGUUGCUUUCUGUUUUUGUUGUUAUUUAUAACUUCAGGUUUAAUUUUGAUGAAUGUGAGCAUGUAAUAGUGGAGUUGUGUCUAACAGUCAGCUUGAAUUAAUUACAUGUACUCCCAAAUAAGAAGUGGCUAUGUAAAGGACACUGAUAUAAAGACAUUGCUGGAUGUAUUUCCUGGUGGCAACUUCAGACCAACAGAAGUGUUUGGGGUAGCAGUAUUUACCACUAUUGACCUGGAAACUACUAACCUAAGAGACAUCUUUGUUUUUUCUCCGACAUCAGAUGUGAAAGCUGCCAGUUGAAAAGUUGACACAGUCCCUGCAGAGUUACAGACAGCUAUAUGGAAUCUGAAAG